UGAGUAACGCGUUGGUGACCUGCCCCGGAGUGUGGGAUAACAGGCCGAAAGGCUUGCUAAUACCGCAUGAUGUCACGGAGUUUAGAAGUCCGUGAAGAAAAGAGAAAUCUACUCUGGGAGGGGCCUGCGACCCAUCAGCUAGUUGGUAAGGUAACGGCCUACCAAGGCGAUGACGGGUAGGGGACCUGAGAGGGUGGCCCCCCACAAUGGAACUGAAACACGGUCCAUACACCUACGGGUGGCAGCAGUAGGGGAUAUUGCUUAAUGGGCGAAAGCCUGAAGCAGCAACGCCGCGUGUGCGAUGAAGGCCUUCGGGUUGUAAAGCACUUUUGGCAGGGAAGAGGAAGGACGGUACCUGCCGAAUCAGCCUCGGCUAACUACGUGCCAGCAGCCGCGGUAAAACGUAGGAGGCGAGCGUUAUCCGGAUUUACUGGGUGUAAAGCGCGUGCAGGCGGUCUGUUAAGUUGGAUGUGAAAGCCCCCGGCUCA
Molecule: ribosomal RNA, 488 nt
Filed under: uncultured Anaerolineae bacterium
Lineage: Bacteria; Bacillati; Chloroflexota; Anaerolineae
Description: bacterial SSU rRNA
Rfam family: Bacterial small subunit ribosomal RNA
Source: RNAcentral